Pteronotus mesoamericanus is the source of this 132-nucleotide small nucleolar RNA. RefSeq annotates it as small nucleolar RNA SNORA51. The record is from RefSeq and is a predicted model, not a curated record. Lineage: Eukaryota; Metazoa; Chordata; Mammalia; Chiroptera; Mormoopidae. The transcript has a single exon.
GGCCUCCUGGUGCUUCCCACAGGCUGUGUUCUUCCACUGACUGUACAGACAGAGGAGGCAGAGUAAACCCACCCCAUGUACACCUCAGCCUGCACCCUUUGCCUAGUCUGUAUUGUGAAUGGAGGGACAUGG